This 615-nucleotide ribosomal RNA is filed under the name uncultured Planctomycetota bacterium. RNAcentral describes it as "bacterial SSU rRNA". It matches the Rfam family "Bacterial small subunit ribosomal RNA", at positions 58 to 679 of the family's 1533-position model. The record is from RNAcentral. Lineage: Bacteria; Pseudomonadati; Planctomycetota.
CAAGUCGAACGAAUCCCAUUUGGGUAACUGAGUGGGGGAAGUGGCGAAAGGGGCAGUAAGGCAUGGGUAACUUGCCCCGGAGUUCGGGAUAGCCUUCCUAACGGAUGGGUAAUACCNAAUGCCGUACCGAGGGGGCCUCCUCUUGGUACGAAAGUUCCNACGCUCCGGGAGAGGUCCAUGUGGUAUUAGCUAGUUGGUGGGGUAACGGCCCACCAAGGCGAAGAUGCCUAGCAGGUGUGAGAGCACGACCUGCGUCACUGGCACUGGGACACUGGCCAGACUCCUACGGGAGGCUGCAGUCGAGGAUCUUCGGCAAUGGGCGAAAGCCUGACCGAGCGACGCCGCGUGUGCGAUGAAGGCCUUCGGGUUGUAAAGCACUGUCGAGGGGGAGAAAAGCCGCAAGGCUUGAUCGACCUCUGGAGGAAGCACGGGCUAAGUUCGUGCCAGCAGCCGCGGUAAGACGAACCGUGCGAACGUUGUUCGGAAUCACUGGGCUUAAAGGGUGCGUAGGCGGGCUCGUCAGUCGGGGGUGAAAUCCCACGGCCCAACCGUGGAAGUGCCUCCGAUACUGCGGACCUGGAGGGGGAUAGGGGCGUGCGGAACUUCCGGUGGACC